This 400-nucleotide ribosomal RNA is filed under the name Escherichia coli. Its description in RNAcentral is "bacterial SSU rRNA". It matches the Rfam family "Bacterial small subunit ribosomal RNA", at positions 248 to 640 of the family's 1533-position model. The record is from RNAcentral. Lineage: Bacteria; Pseudomonadati; Pseudomonadota; Gammaproteobacteria; Enterobacterales; Enterobacteriaceae.
GUUGGUGGGGUAACGGCUCACCAAGGCGACGAUCCCUAGCUGGUCUGAGAGGAUGACCAGCCACACUGGAACUGAGACACGGUCCAGACUCCUACGGGAGGCAGCAGUGGGGAAUAUUGCACAAUGGGCGCAAGCCUGAUGCAGCCAUGCCGCGUGUAUGAAGAAGGCCUUCGGGUUGUAAAGUACUUUCAGCGGGGAGGAAGGGAGUAAAGUUAAUACCUUUGCUCAUUGACGUUACCCGCAGAAGAAGCACCGGCUAACUCCGUGCCAGCAGCCGCGGUAAUACGGAGGGUGCAAGCGUUAAUCGGAAUUACUGGGCGUAAAGCGCACGCAGGCGGUUUGUUAAGUCAGAUGUGAAAUCCCCGGGCUCAACCUGGGAACUGCAUCUGAUACUGGCAAG